UACGUAGGUGGCAAGCGUUGUCCGGAUUUAUUGGGUUUAAAGGGUGCGUAGGCGGUCUUUUAAGUCAGUGCUGAAAUACUCCAGCUUAACUGGAGGGGUGGCAUUGAUACUGGAAGACUUGAGUAUAGUUGAGGUAGGCGGAAUUGACGGUGUAGCGGUGAAAUGCUUAGAUAUCGUCAAGAACACCGAUAGCGAAGGCAGCUUACCAAGCAGUAACUGACGCUCAGGCACGAAAGUGCGGGGAUCAAACAGG
This 253-nucleotide ribosomal RNA is filed under the name uncultured prokaryote. RNAcentral describes it as "partial 16S ribosomal RNA". It matches the Rfam family "Bacterial small subunit ribosomal RNA", at positions 524 to 776 of the family's 1533-position model. The record is from RNAcentral.